AGUGGGGAAUAUUGCGCAAUGGGGGAAACCCUGACGCAGCGACGCCAUGUGAGGGAUGAAGGCUUUCGGGUCGUAAACCUCUGUCAGGAGGGAAGAAACUGUUUGGGGCUAAUACCCCCUUUCACUGACGGUACCUCCAGAGGAAGCACCGGCUAACUCCGUGCCAGCAGCCGCGGUAAUACGGAGGGUGCGAGCGUUAAUCGGAAUCACUGGGCGUAAAGCGCGCGUAGGCGGCCUGAUAAGUCAGGUGUGAAAGCCCUCGGCUCAACCGGGGAAUUGCACUUGAUACUGUCAAGCUUGAGUAUCGGAGAGGAUGGCGGAAUUCCAGGUGUAGGAGUGAAAUCCGUAGAUAUCUGGAGGAACACCAGUGGCGAAGGCGGCCAUCUGGACGAUAACUGACGCUGAGGUGCGAAAGCGUGGGGAGCAAA
RNAcentral lists this ribosomal RNA (428 nucleotides) under uncultured Desulfovibrio sp. RNAcentral describes it as "bacterial SSU rRNA". It matches the Rfam family "Bacterial small subunit ribosomal RNA", at positions 353 to 772 of the family's 1533-position model. Lineage: Bacteria; Pseudomonadati; Thermodesulfobacteriota; Desulfovibrionia; Desulfovibrionales; Desulfovibrionaceae. The record is from RNAcentral.